GAUGAACGCUGGCGGCGUGCCUAAUACAUGCAAGUCGAGCGAACGGACGAGAAGCUUGCUUCUCUGAUGUUAGCGGCGGACGGGUGAGUAACACGUGGAUAACCUACCUAUAAGACUGGGAUAACUUCGGGAAACCGUAGCUAAUACCGGAUAAUAUUUUGAACCGCAUGGUUCAAAAGUGAAAGACGGUCUUGCUGUCACUUAUAGAUGGAUCCGCGCUGCAUUAGCUAGUUGGUAAGGUAACGGCUUACCAAGGCAACGAUGCAUAGCCGACCUGAGAGGGUGAUCGGCCACACUGAAACUGAGACACGGUCCAGACUCCUACGGGAGGCAGCAGUAGGGAAUCUUCCGCAAUGGGCGAAAGCCUGACGGAGCAACGCCGCGUGAGUGAUGAAGGUCUUCGGAUCGUAAAACUCUGUUAUUAGGGAAGAACAUAUGUGUAAGUAACUGUGCACAUCUUGACGGUACCUAAUCAGAAAGCCACGGCUAACUACG
This 495-nucleotide ribosomal RNA is filed under the name uncultured bacterium. RNAcentral's name for it is "partial 16S ribosomal RNA". It matches the Rfam family "Bacterial small subunit ribosomal RNA", at positions 28 to 505 of the family's 1533-position model. The record is from RNAcentral.